UACGAAGGGGGCUAGCGUUGUUCGGAAUUACUGGGCGUAAAGCGCACGUAGGCGGAUUGUUAAGUUAGGGGUGAAAUCCCAGGGCUCAACCCUGGAACUGCCUUUAAUACUGGCAAUCUCGAGUCCGAGAGAGGUGAGUGGAAUUCCGAGUGUAGAGGUGAAAUUCGUAGAUAUUCGGAGGAACACCAGUGGCGAAGGCGGCUCACUGGCUCGGUACUGACGCUGAGGUGGCGAAAGCGUGGGGAGCAAACAGG
This 254-nucleotide ribosomal RNA is filed under the name uncultured bacterium. RNAcentral describes it as "partial 16S ribosomal RNA". It matches the Rfam family "Bacterial small subunit ribosomal RNA", at positions 524 to 776 of the family's 1533-position model. The record is from RNAcentral.